UCAAAAAUAAGCUAAUAAAGCUGAAGAGCUCAUGACUCUUUGAUAGGGUAACCUUUUUUGGAU
This 63-nucleotide transfer RNA is filed under the name Tigriopus japonicus. RNAcentral's name for it is "tRNA-Met". The record is from RNAcentral. Lineage: Eukaryota; Metazoa; Arthropoda; Copepoda; Harpacticoida; Harpacticidae.